Molecule: ribosomal RNA, 433 nt
Filed under: uncultured bacterium
Lineage: Bacteria
Description: partial 16S ribosomal RNA
Rfam family: Bacterial small subunit ribosomal RNA
Source: RNAcentral
AACGAACGCUGGCGGCAUGCCUAACACAUGCAAGUCGAACGAGACCUUCGGGUCUAGUUGCGCAUGGGUGCGUCACGCGUGGGAACCUGCCGUUAGGUUCCGAAUAAUUCCCCUUAAUGGGUGCUAAUACCGGGUAAUUUCCUCGGAUCAAAGAUUGAACCCCCUUGGGUGAGCGCGCGAUGGUUUGGCCGGUGGGUAGGGGAAAAGCCUACCAAGGCGACGCUCCAUAGCUGGUCUGAGAGAAUGAUCAGCCACACUGGGACUAGGACACGGCACGGAAUCCUACGGGAGGGAGCAGAGGGGAAUACUGGACAAUGGGCGAGAGCCUGAUCCAGCAAUGCCGCGUGAGUGAUUAAGUCCUUAGGGUAGUGAAGCUCUUUUACCCGGCAUGAUAAUGACGGUACCGGGAGAAUAAGCACCGGCUAACUCCGUG